RNAcentral lists this ribosomal RNA (222 nucleotides) under uncultured bacterium. RNAcentral describes it as "partial 16S ribosomal RNA". It matches the Rfam family "Bacterial small subunit ribosomal RNA", at positions 326 to 539 of the family's 1533-position model. The record is from RNAcentral.
ACGCUCGACACCUACGGGAAGCAGCAGUAGGGAAUCUUCCACAAUGGACGCAAGUCUGAUGGAGCAACGCCGCGUGAGUGAAGAAGGUUUUCGGAUCGUAAAGCUCUGUUGUUGGUGAAGAAGGAUAGAGGUAGUAACUGGCCUUUAUUUGACGGUAAUCAACCAGAAAGUCACGGCUAACUACGUGCAGCAGCCGCGGUAAUCUGAGCGGGCUGGCAAGGC